AAUGAACUUUUUGUUCAUUAACAACAACAACAACGACAAAACAACAAUAUUAAUAAAUGAAUCAAUAAUUAAAAAAGUGCAUUGCCCUGAUUUUUAGUCCUUCGCUGCUCCAGGAAGCACACACUCCUGCUUGGAAACCAAUCAGAAGUUUAAACAAUUUUUAGCGUCAUCAUCAUCAAGUUCACCUCGUGUAUCAUCAAUUAAGUCUUUGUUGUCAAUCAUCAGAAUACACAAGUAAGUUAUUAACAAAAAAACAAAAAAAGUAUCAGUUCUUGCUAACUCAAAUGAUUGUAAAUGCAAGUAAUCAAACUUUAUUCUCUUAAGUGAGCGUGCACAUGUAGACCCAACGCUUUACAGCUGUCAGGCGGUUAAUGUCAGUUUUAUAAUCAUUUCUCAUUAAAUGUUUUAGGCUAACAUUUCUUGUGAGGGUCAACUGUGCACAACAAUUACUUUUUUUUGAUGCAUCAUAUGUUUUGUGGUUAUGUUAUGAUGAGAUCACACUACUGUAUGUCCAUGCCAGACAUUACGUGUAGAUCACAGAUGUGAGGAUUAAUCAAAUCAUUGUAAACCUGACUUAACACAACUUGUUUUUUGUUUUUUUUGUAAUUUUUUCCCCCCAUUUUACAUUUGUUCAAGCAGAAUGUGCUUAGAAGCAGCACUUGUUCUUGGAGAUGUGUUUCUUGAUCAGAUACAGGUAACUUUAGAAACUGUAUCUUGAAUGAUUUAUUUUGACUUCUUUUUCUCUGUCAAAUAAUUCAAAGAAAACUACAGAUUAAUAGUUAUAUUGGCUAAUAUAUUAUUCAUGAAAUGCAAGUAUUAACUACUUUUAAAAACCUUUUAAAUAUACUAUUUGCAAUUUAGAAAGAAGAAAAAUAUCAAGUCAAGAGGUCGAAGCCACAUCCUGCGACUGUGAAGUGGAGGAGAAAGGACAUAAAUGGGAAUGUUGUAAGAAAAACUUCAAUAAAACCAAAACAGUAAAGAAAGGCUCCUAACUACGGCGAGACAGUUGUAAAUUUACAGUUAUUGUUUAAAUUUACUGUUAAUUUCAGUUGUGGUUUAUAUUUUCUCCAUAUUUGAUAAAUGUUUAGAUGUGAGCAGUCUGUUUUAAUCUUUAAGUGCACACAUUUACAUACAGAACCAGAUAUAUAGAGCCCCAAAGCAUAAUGUAUUUACAUUUUAUUUUAUUUAAAGCUGCUGGAAGACCAAGUAUGUAAUAACCCUGAACUUAUUGUCAGAUUGUUUAUUUCAGUCCAGCUACCAUUAUUGAAAUAUUAAUAAUUAUUUGAAUGUAAUGUCUUGUAGGCCAUUCUUCUGCUCAGAUGUUGUCUGCAAGUACUGGCCACACUUAAAGAGAGCGGUGGACACUGUCCAGAGCUAAGGCCUUUAUUAAAUAUGCGCCCACUAUUAUCAGUUAUGCGUGCCAAAACACAUGAGUAGAGUUCUUACAUUACAAGAAAUUAUUUUAAUGAUAUUUUUAUGGCAUGGACGUGCACUUUUAUUUCAACAGCCAUUGUUUGUUUUGUUUUUGUCUUGGUUUUUUGUAGAUAAAAUGGUUUAAUAAAAGGUCUUCCGGGUGUGGAACGACACAAGGGUAACUAAGAAGAUGGUCUUUGAGCGGUUCAUGUUUCUUUCCCGACUGAAGGAGGACGAGCAGAUCCUAGUGAUGGAGGUCAAGCAACACUGACAAUCAUUGAAGGAAGCUGAAUGUUCCCUGAGGGAUCUCUCAAUUCAAAUACAAAAUAACAACACUGACUUCGAGCGAUCGGAGGAGAGCUCCAAUGGACUCCUGUGCCUUCUCAAGAGAAAACUGGAAGACCUUCAGUUUCUGCAAAAUAAUGCUUGGAUGUUAUACAGACAAUGUGUUCUGGGACAGGCAUCAGAAAGCAUUCAAUCUGAUAACAUUUCAGAUGAAGAAAACUACAGCUCUGAUGAAACCUGACCAUGUAGAGUAGACAGAUACUGGAUAACUAUUUUAAUAAGCUGUAAAAAAAUAAAAAAAUAAAAAAAUGUUUACUGUGAGAAACAUUUUAGCACAUUAACAUAGAGUCUAUUUAAUAUUUUCUAAUCCUAAUGGAAAUUAAAUGAAGGUUCAGCAGUACAAGUUUUGACUAUUAUUUUUGAAGAUUUGAGUGUGUUUGUGUAAGACAGGUGUUUCACAUUUUUAUAGUGCAGUUAUUAUAAGCAGCCAUACACCCGCCAUCCCUAUUCAUUAUUUUCUAUUAUUUCCAUUUCCCUUCGCUCUCAUGGGAGCAUGCAGUGUAUAUCUGUGGGGUGUUUUGCAGUGUGUACAUAUCUUAGAUUGAUAGAAAGUAAAGAAGAAUACAGUAUAUAAA
Molecule: long non-coding RNA, 2333 nt
Organism: Cyprinus carpio (common carp)
Lineage: Eukaryota; Metazoa; Chordata; Actinopteri; Cypriniformes; Cyprinidae
Source: RefSeq, a predicted model, not a curated record